This 57-nucleotide transfer RNA is filed under the name Bos taurus (domestic cattle). It matches the Rfam family "tRNA", at positions 8 to 63 of the family's 71-position model. Rfam says of the family: Transfer RNA (tRNA) molecules are approximately 80 nucleotides in length. The record is from Rfam by way of RNAcentral. RNAcentral also lists the same sequence under 4 other names. Lineage: Eukaryota; Metazoa; Chordata; Mammalia; Artiodactyla; Bovidae.
UAGCUCAGACGGUAAAGCAUCUGCCUACAACGCGGGAGACCCAGGUUCGAUCCCUGG